Molecule: ribosomal RNA, 1444 nt
Filed under: Streptococcus thermophilus
Lineage: Bacteria; Bacillati; Bacillota; Bacilli; Lactobacillales; Streptococcaceae
Description: bacterial SSU rRNA
Rfam family: Bacterial small subunit ribosomal RNA
Source: RNAcentral
GCGUGCGGGGCUAUACAUGCAGUAGAACGCUGAAGAGAGGAGCUUGCUCUUCUUGGAUGAGUUGCGAACGGGUGAGUAACGCGUAGGUAACCUGCCUUGUAGCGGGGGAUAACUAUUGGAAACGAUAGCUAAUACCGCAUAACAAUGGAUGACACAUGUCAUUUAUUUGAAAGGGGCAAUUGCUCCACUACAAGAUGGACCUGCGUUGUAUUAGCUAGUAGGUGAGGUAAUGGCUCACCUAGGCGACGAUACAUAGCCGACCUGAGAGGGUGAUCGGCCACACUGGGACUGAGACACGGCCCAGACUCCUACGGGAGGCAGCAGUAGGGAAUCUUCGGCAAUGGGGGCAACCCUGACCGAGCAACGCCGCGUGAGUGAAGAAGGUUUUCGGAUCGUAAAGCUCUGUUGUAAGUCAAGAACGGGUGUGAGAGUGGAAAGUUCACACUGUGACGGUAGCUUACCAGAAAGGGACGGCUAACUACGUGCCAGCAGCCGCGGUAAUACGUAGGUCCCGAGCGUUGUCCGGAUUUAUUGGGCGUAAAGCGAGCGCAGGCGGUUUGAUAAGUCUGAAGUUAAAGGCUGUGGCUCAACCAUAGUUCGCUUUGGAAACUGUCAAACUUGAGUGCAGAAGGGGAGAGUGGAAUUCCAUGUGUAGCGGUGAAAUGCGUAGAUAUAUGGAGGAACACCGGUGGCGAAAGCGGCUCUCUGGUCUGUAACUGACGCUGAGGCUCGAAAGCGUGGGGAGCGAACAGGAUUAGAUACCCUGGUAGUCCACGCCGUAAACGAUGAGUGCUAGGUGUUGGAUCCUUUCCGGGAUUCAGUGCCGCAGCUAACGCAUUAAGCACUCCGCCUGGGGAGUACGACCGCAAGGUUGAAACUCAAAGGAAUUGACGGGGGCCCGCACAAGCGGUGGAGCAUGUGGUUUAAUUCGAAGCAACGCGAAGAACCUUACCAGGUCUUGACAUCCCGAUGCUAUUUCUAGAGAUAGAAAGUUACUUCGGUACAUCGGUGACAGGUGGUGCAUGGUUGUCGUCAGCUCGUGUCGUGAGAUGUUGGGUUAAGUCCCGCAACGAGCGCAACCCCUAUUGUUAGUUGCCAUCAUUCAGUUGGGCACUCUAGCGAGACUGCCGGUAAUAAACCGGAGGAAGGUGGGGAUGACGUCAAAUCAUCAUGCCCCUUAUGACCUGGGCUACACACGUGCUACAAUGGUUGGUACAACGAGUUGCGAGUCGGUGACGGCGAGCUAAUCUCUUAAAGCCAAUCUCAGUUCGGAUUGUAGGCUGCAACUCGCCUACAUGAAGUCGGAAUCGCUAGUAAUCGCGGAUCAGCACGCCGCGGUGAAUACGUUCCCGGGCCUUGUACACACCGCCCGUCACACCACGAGAGUUUGUAACACCCGAAGUCGGUGAGGUAACCUUUGGAGCCAGCCGCUAAGUUACAAAUU